This 468-nucleotide ribosomal RNA is filed under the name uncultured bacterium. RNAcentral describes it as "partial 16S ribosomal RNA". It matches the Rfam family "Bacterial small subunit ribosomal RNA", at positions 28 to 507 of the family's 1533-position model. The record is from RNAcentral.
GACGAACGCUGGCGGCGUGCUUAACACAUGCAAGUCGAACGGAAAGGCCCUGCUUUUGUGGGGUGCUCGAGUGGCGAACGGGUGAGUAACACGUGAGUAACCUGCCCUUGACUUUGGGAUAACUUCAGGAAACUGGGGCUAAUACCGGAUAGGAGCUCCUGCUGCAUGGUGGGGGUUGGAUAGUUUCGGCGGUUGGGGAUGGACUCGCGGCUUAUCAGCUUGUUGGUGGGGUAGUGGCUUACCAAGGCCUUGACGGGUAGCCGGCCUGAGAGGGUGACCGGCCACAUUGGGACUGGGAUACGGCCCAGACUCCUACGGGAGGCGGCGGUGGGGAAUAUUGCACAAUGGGCGGAAGCCUGAUGCAGCAACGCCGCGUGCGGGAUGACGGCCUUCGGGUUGUAAACCGCUUUCGCCUGUGACGAAGCGUGAGUGACGGUAAUGGGUAAAGAAGCACCGGCUAACUACGUG